AGUCGAGCAGGGACGAAAGUCGGGCUUAGUGAUCCGGUGGUUCCGCAUGGAAGGGCCAUCGCUCAACGGAUAAAAGCUACCCUGGGGAUAACAGGCUUAUCUCCCCCAAGAGUCCACAUCGACGGGGGGGUUUGGCACCUCGAUGUCGGCUCGUCGCAUCCUGGGGCUGUAGUCGGUCCCAAGGGUUGGGCUGUUCGCCCAUUAAAGCGGCACGCGAGCUGGGUUCAGAACGUCGUG
RNAcentral lists this ribosomal RNA (237 nucleotides) under Enterococcus faecium. RNAcentral describes it as "partial 23S ribosomal RNA". It matches the Rfam family "Bacterial large subunit ribosomal RNA", at positions 2387 to 2623 of the family's 2925-position model. Lineage: Bacteria; Bacillati; Bacillota; Bacilli; Lactobacillales; Enterococcaceae. The record is from RNAcentral.